CUGUAUGUUUCUCAUGUUUUGUUUUAAACUCUUCAUUUUUCUGGUCAUUUCCUCUUGUUCCAUAUUCUUAUUGGCCUUUUCGAUGUCGACUGAGAGCAUGUACUGAGGAGUAUGGUUGUAAGAAUCUGGAACCUUGAAAGUCAUUUCUGGAGGGUAAUGUUAGGUAUCAUGAUCAUUCAAUUAUGGAUCAUUGUUGAGCUUUUGAGUGAGAGUCGGUUGAGGAACGGUGAAAGUCGGUACGAUUGGUACAACAUAUGGGUCAUUUUUGAGGGGUCCCAUUGGAGGACGUGGAAUGGAAGUACUAGGGAUAGUGGGAAGGUUAAUGCU
This 327-nucleotide long non-coding RNA is filed under the name Nicotiana benthamiana. Its description in RNAcentral is "long non-coding RNA (NBEN_LNC003564)". Lineage: Eukaryota; Viridiplantae; Streptophyta; Magnoliopsida; Solanales; Solanaceae. The record is from RNAcentral.